RNAcentral lists this non-coding RNA (30 nucleotides) under Mus musculus (house mouse). Lineage: Eukaryota; Metazoa; Chordata; Mammalia; Rodentia; Muridae. The record is from RNAcentral.
GCUGAUGGGAAUGGCCAGCUACUAGUGGAA